AUACUGGCCAGAGACCGAUAGCGCACAAGUAGAGUGAUCGAAAGAUGAAAAGCACUUUGGAAAGAGAGUCAACCAGCACGUGAAAUUGUUGAAAGGGAAGCGCUUGCAGCCAGACUUGCCCGCGGUCGUUCUUCUUCCGCGGGCAGGCCAGCAUCAGUCUGGGCGGUCGGAUAAAGGCCUCGGGAAUGUAGCUCUCUUCGGGGAGUGUUAUAGCCCGGGGCGCCAUGCGGCCAGCUCGGACUGAGGUCCGCGCAUCUGCUAGGAUGCUGGCGUAAUGGCUGUAAGCGGCCCGUCUUGAAACACGGACCAAGGAGUCUAACAUCUAUGCGAGUGUUUGGGUGUCAAGCCCGGGCGCGCAAUGAAAGUGAACGGAGGUGGGAACCCCUCGGGGCGCACCAUCGACCGAUCCUGAUGUCUUCGGAUGGAUUUGAGUAAGAGCAUAGCUGUUGGGACCCGAAAGAUGGUGAACUAUGCCUGAAUAGGGUGAAGCCAGAGGAAACUCUGGUGGAGGCUCGCAGCGGUUCUGACGUGCAAAUCGAUCGUCAAAUUUGGGCAUAGGGGCGAAAGACUAAUCGAACCAUCA
RNAcentral lists this ribosomal RNA (583 nucleotides) under Anteaglonium parvulum. Its description in RNAcentral is "eukaryotic LSU rRNA". It matches the Rfam family "Eukaryotic large subunit ribosomal RNA", at positions 320 to 945 of the family's 3401-position model. The record is from RNAcentral. Lineage: Eukaryota; Fungi; Ascomycota; Dothideomycetes; Pleosporales; Anteagloniaceae.